CACCUGAAUAACUAUCGAGCUUAAAAACCUCACUGAGUGUAAAGAAAUAAGAAGUCUAGUUUUGUUCCAGAUGUGCCUCCUCAUUAAAAUGAACCUCUGCUUGGGGGGAAUAAGCAGCCAAAAAGCAUCCUUCACACAAGUAAAACAAUUGGCUGUGGUAUAAUAAAGGAAAACACUACCACAGAAAACUGAAACAGACCUCUCUAGCGUUGCUAACAGGGAGAGCUGGUUUUUUUAAAAUACCCAGAAAAACAGUCAAGUUACCCAGUUCUCAUUCUGGGGCGAGGGAGUCUGUCACACCUUCCAUAUCUGCCUCAAGGCAAUGUACAAAAUAUAAUAAAAACUGCUUUAAAAAACGGGUUAAAAAACAACAACAAACAGAGCACAACUUAAAAAAAUAAAUAAAUCACCAAGUAGACACCCAUGGUAAAAACUCAUUCACCCACCAGUUGGAAAGGCUUGCCAGAACAAAAAUAUAUUUACGUGUUUCUGGAAAUUAAAGACAGUGGGCGCCAGUUUGGAAAGGGGUGAUAAAAAAUGGAUCCAGCAAAUAAACAAGAUGGCGGCAUUCUGUUCAGCAGCUUUUGAAAGAAAUCACCAUUGGCUUGAAAAAUUCUCACAGAUUAACAACGUGGAUCUAGGCAGGCAGGUGUAAAUUGCAGUGACCUCACCAUGUCUCAGUAAGCACACUGGCAGGCCAACAGAGGCAGCCCAAGGAUGGCAUAUACUCUGGAAACUCAUCUGACGUAAGGCUUCCUCUUUUGCGCAAGAAGAAAGUUAACAAUGCAGAGUGUCACAACACCUAAUUC
Long non-coding RNA from Podarcis raffonei (Aeolian wall lizard), 809 nucleotides. RefSeq lists it as uncharacterized. The record is from RefSeq and is a predicted model, not a curated record. The transcript has 3 exons. NCBI's taxonomy places the organism in Eukaryota, Metazoa, Chordata, Lepidosauria, Squamata, Lacertidae.